UGGGUAGAGUACCUUCUAUUUUGUGGAAUAGUUUAUG
Molecule: unclassified non-coding RNA, 37 nt
Filed under: Mus musculus (house mouse)
Lineage: Eukaryota; Metazoa; Chordata; Mammalia; Rodentia; Muridae
Description: oocyte_clustered_small_RNA13109
Source: RNAcentral